CACAACCCAAGCCCAUUCCCUUUACUCUUAUCUUAAUUAAGAAAAAACCUACAGACCUACACCCUUUAGCUUCAGCCGCAACAGUGCAAAAAAAAAAAAAAAAAAUUCCCCCACGUCGAUCUUUUUCUUCUUCAGAAGAGAAGAACUCUUCAGCCAUGAAAGGAGCUUAAUAUAAAAAAGAAGCAACCACAUAUCGAUGCAGCUUUAGCCAUAACACACACCAUAAGCUUCUUCCUCGUUGAAACAAAAACCAACAAACUCGUUUUCUAUGAAGCCUAAGCUUCCUCUUCUUAUUCUAGAGAAGGAUCCCCUAAAUCAAAACACACAGUCUCCACCCUCACAAAACCAACGAAGCUUCUUCUUCCUCCAAAGAAUCGAGAAAAAGCUAGGUUGCUUCUUCUUUCGCCUGGAACCAUCGCCGCAGUCAGCUUGCCAACAACCAACGAAGCUUAAUGGCUUCCGUCCUCUCCUUCCCUCCAUGUGUGACGAGUUUCAGAUCUAGUCGAGUGUUUGGUUAAACCCGGCGACCACCUCCAGUCCAAAAUGAGAGCAGCAGUAGUGAGGAAAUGUUUCUGCUUUUUCUUCUCGUAUUUUCAAUUUUUGUCGGAAAACAGAGAAGUAAAGCAGAGGGUUGAUUUGCUUCAGUGCCGGUUCGAGUUUAUCUCCAGUCGCCGGCUCUGUUCAUAGUCACCGGCGAAAGUUCCUGUCCGUUAUUUACAAACUGCUGUAGUUCAAGUUGAGAUCUAUAAUUACAGAAGGAUCAUUCUCUUAAUUACUCAUUUCUUCUAUUAACCAUCUGUAAUUAGUUAUGACUUUAAGAGCGAUAUUAGUUUCUUGUACAUGUUUAUUCUUUUGGAUGAUAUGCUAUAGUGUUUCGUCGCAUCCAAAAAUAAAUUUUAUGACCUACCAUUUAGACACAUAAUCUUUGAAAGCAUAUAUGCAUUCAAGAAUUAGGCUUGAUGGUCUCUUGCGUUAUAGUAAUCAACAUUCGUAAUAAAUGUGCUAAUUGAUCUAAAAGAGAAUUCGAC
RNAcentral lists this long non-coding RNA (1028 nucleotides) under Nicotiana benthamiana. RNAcentral describes it as "long non-coding RNA (NBEN_LNC024111)". The record is from RNAcentral. Lineage: Eukaryota; Viridiplantae; Streptophyta; Magnoliopsida; Solanales; Solanaceae.